GAGACGCUGCGCGGCGGCAGCAGCGGGCGCGAGCUGCAGCUGUCAGGCCACCGAGGUCCAAGCCGCACUUGCUGCCCCAUUGAGAACGAGGAGGCAGCAGGAGCAGUGACGGUGACACUAAGAAGCCGGACUCCCGGCACGCAGAACUGACCUACCUGGCACCCGCGGCCCUCUACUGUUUCCUUCCCAUUGUGUUGGCACCCUAAAAAGAAAGAAUAAAACAGCAACAGGAAAAAAAGGAAAAUAUUUAAAUUGUGACAAAAACCCACUGGAUAAGCCAGCUGCAGAAUAUAUCAUGAGGUACCUGCUUUAUGGAAUUACUCACACUAUUCACCAACAAGAAGAAUAAAGUCAGUCAAUUCAGGGAGUCCCAGAACAGGAGCACAUAGACACCAAACUUUGUGGGACAACAAAUAUAAUGAAGAGCAUGUUUGCUUCUUUCAAACAAAGCCAUGUGAAGUCAAGGCCCUUAACACCCACCUCUCCCACAUACUGAGGGGAGAAUUCAGUUGCCCACUGCAGUCAGCCAGUCAGACUGCACACUCCUUGCCUCCACUCCAGUUUACCCUGGGAGACCUCUCUGCUACGGUUGAAUCUGAGAGAGAUCCUUGAGUAACGAAUUAAGGAAUGAACGAAUGUUGCUCUGGACAAAGCUGCACCUUCCACAUCCUGCAUAACUACACUCAGUGCUGACCCUGAAGAUAGGAAAAGCAAUACAACUGGUGCUAGAAAUGUUAUGAGAAUGACUUGGAUGACCUGAAAAAUGAAUGAGCUUCUUGAACAAGCUCCUUGGAAACCACAGGGUUGUCAUGGUAGCUGUUAUCAAGGAGAAGGGAGUGAGAAGAUGCUGACAACACCCUGUUUCUCUUCCCUAACGAGGUGUAAGGCCAGAUGCCCCCUUCGUCUACACAGAUUCUAUGCUCCCUUAUGCUGCUUGCCUGGAAUUUCACUUUGCUACAGAGACAUCUGGAAAUGUGGAUUGAGGGUGGAAAUAAAAUGAAGAUGUGCUG
RNA transcript from Rhinopithecus roxellana (golden snub-nosed monkey), 1010 nucleotides. RefSeq lists it as uncharacterized. The transcript has 9 exons. The record is from RefSeq and is a predicted model, not a curated record. NCBI's taxonomy places the organism in Eukaryota, Metazoa, Chordata, Mammalia, Primates, Cercopithecidae.